This 740-nucleotide ribosomal RNA is filed under the name uncultured bacterium. Its description in RNAcentral is "bacterial SSU rRNA". It matches the Rfam family "Bacterial small subunit ribosomal RNA", at positions 8 to 796 of the family's 1533-position model. The record is from RNAcentral.
AGAGUUUGAUCAUGGCUCAGGGUGAACGCUGGCGGCGUGGAUAAGGCAUGCAAGUCGAAUGCAUUUAGUUGCAUGGCAGACGAGGUAGUAACACGUAGGUACGUACCCCAAAGUCAGGCAUAACCGGUCGAAAGAUCGGAUAAUUCCUGAUAGUCCCGCAAGGGUAAAGAUUUAUCGCUUUGGGAGCGGCCUGCGUAGUAUCAGCUUGUUGGUAAGGUAAUGGCUUACCAAGGCUAUGACGCUUAGGGGAGGUGAGAGCCUGACCCCCACCGAUGGAACUGCGACACGGUCCAUACUCCUACGGGAGGCUGCAGCCGAGAAUAUUCCGCAAUGGACGAAAGUCUGACGGAGCGACGCCGCGUGAAGGAUGAAGGCCCUUGGGUCGUAAACUUCUUUUAUGAGGGAGGAAAUUUUGACGUUACCUCAUGAAUAAGGAGCUCCUAAUUCCGUGCCAGCAGGAGCGGUCAUACGGAAGCUUCAAGCGUUACCCGGAAUCACUGGGCGUAAAGGGUGUGUAGGUUGUUUUGUUAGUCUUUUGUUAAAGACUGGGGCUUAACCCCAGGAGUGCGAAGGAAACGGCAAAACUAGAGAGUGAGAGAGGUGAACGGAACUCAUGGUGUAGGAGUGAAAUCCGUUGAUAUCAUGGGGAACACCAAAGGCGAAGGCAGUUCACUGGCUCAUUUCUGACACUGAGACACGAAAGCGUGGGUAGCGAAUGGGAUUAGAUACCCUGGUAGUCC